CCCUUAGAUGUUCUGGGCCGCACGCGUGCUACACUGAGUGGAUCAGCGGGUCAGGUUACGCGAGAGCGUUUCCUAAUCUUCAAAUCCGCUCGUGAUGGGGAUUGACGGUUGCAAUUUUCCGUCAUGAACGAGGAAUACCUUGUAAGCGCGGGUCAUCAUCCCGCGCUGAAUACGUCCCUGCCCUUUGUACACACCGCCCGUCGCUCCUACCGAUUGAGUGGUCCGGUGAGGCUUUGGGAUCUGAGCGGAAAGAGCGUUUCGCUGUUUCUGCCCGGAAAACUCAGUCGAACCUUAUCAUUUAGAGGAAGGAGAAGUCGUAACA
Molecule: ribosomal RNA, 322 nt
Filed under: uncultured eukaryote
Lineage: Eukaryota
Description: partial 18S ribosomal RNA
Rfam family: Eukaryotic small subunit ribosomal RNA
Source: RNAcentral